This is a long non-coding RNA of Nematolebias whitei (Rio pearlfish), 972 nucleotides long. RefSeq lists it as uncharacterized. NCBI's taxonomy places the organism in Eukaryota, Metazoa, Chordata, Actinopteri, Cyprinodontiformes, Rivulidae. The record is from RefSeq and is a predicted model, not a curated record. The transcript has 3 exons.
CUGUUCAGACAGUUCUGAAACCUGUUUGGGACAGUUUAUCUCACAGACUUCCCGUGUCCAAGAUGUUCCAGCCAUCUGUUCAAGCAGUCAGAUUCUCACUGCAGGGCUCGUGGACGGAGGCUCUCUGGAAGAAAGUGCUGCCCAGGAGGAGCAGAAGUCAAAGAGCAACGCAGCCAGUCCUGCAGAGCCUGAGAGCUCAGACUGGGGAUCAAACUGCUGCGAAGGGAAAGCAGAGGUGGACCACCGAUGCCCGGAGGAGCACGGUGUCACUGCAGUGACAGCGAAGCAGAAGAAAGAAAGAAUAAAAACGAACAAGCAGCCGGACUCUACCUGUAGAGGGGUGCUUUUAUCAGACAGGAGCUCACCACAGGAAGAAGAAACACAGAUCCAAGGGGAAUCUUUUCAAACCGUCCGUCUGUCUGAACAGCAGCCUGCGAGUUUUCCCCAGGCUCAUUUGGAAAUGCUGAAGUCACCUUCAACAGGUCCUCAGGAAGCUCUGAGCCCAUCGCGGAGGUCCAGUUUGCCAGUUUCUUUGCUGAAAGUCAACGUGGUCAGUCCUUCACAGAGGAACAGGGAGAGCAUUGUCCAGAACCAACAAAUGCAGGUCUUCUGUGAGUCCAGUUCAAGCCACCAUGCAGUCACACCACAAAACCUUCUUACAAGAACGGAGCCCGCUCUUCAAUCGUUUUCACACCAAGAGCCAAAUCAAAGCAGUUUCCAUGUUUCACCUCAGCAGGAAGAGGCCACUGAGAGCAACUCCAGGACAACUGGAAGCUGUUCUAGGUCUUUAACUUCAGAAAGUCUCCAACACACGAGUUUCUCUUCUGACUUUAGAACCUUAUCGUCCGUGCAGUUCAGCCAAGUCUGUCAAGAAGACAGACCUCCUGCUGGACUUAAAGCAAACAGCCCACCGUCCAAAAACAUGCACAAUACCGGGCCUCUGUCAGAGCUGUUCACACAUCUGGACCCUAC